GCUUCCGCACGCUACGUCAUCCCCGCCCAAGAAGGUCCGCCCUUGAUCGUCUUUUAAAUGAUUUUAAAAUAGUAAUAUUUAUAAUGACAAGGGCUACACUUUACUUAUACACAGAUAAGCAGACUCACGGACGUAAUGGAGGAGAAUUUUAUCAGAUCGCUCACCACCAUAACUUCCAGGUUACUACUGCAUGCCUCAACUUAGUCGGACUCCUACAAUUCAAAUGACCUACAAACGCGCCGUUUCAGGUGAACUAUGACUAGAUCUGACGAGUUGUGGCUGAUUGGUCAUCGGGAUCUGAGGGCGGCAGUCUUCCUUCUUAGGGCCAAGCAUUGUGAAAGUACUUCUCUGCACAGAUGAGAGAAACAGACCAAGGCAGAAGCCGCAAAAGUGACGCUGGGAUGUGUCAGUGGUUUUUGGAACGCAGCCCAUAUUCCCGGUCUUCAAAGGCCCCUGACCCUCACUGAUGAGUAGGAUGGUCUAUUGAAGCACCAGAGUUGGGUCUCAAGCACAGAUAAGGUCAGGGAAGCAAUGUUUCAAGACUCCCGGGAAGACAUAUCCGGCAUUGGCCACAAAGACGUGUCUUUGAUGAAAAAUCAAGAAGACAGGGAUUUUCUCAUCCAUCAUCUACGGCUGGAGUCCGCACUGUACUUGCCAAGGAAGUCGCUGGUGGAGCUGAGCCACCUCUGGGCCCUUGAGUGGGGCCCUUAACCUCCAUGGCUCCAGGGACACCGUGUGACUCUGCUCUCUGAUCCUCACCAUUAUGUCACUUUGGGCUCAAUAAAUGUACUGAACUGUAA
Paramormyrops kingsleyae is the source of this 800-nucleotide non-coding RNA. The record is from RefSeq and is a predicted model, not a curated record. Lineage: Eukaryota; Metazoa; Chordata; Actinopteri; Osteoglossiformes; Mormyridae.